This 208-nucleotide long non-coding RNA is filed under the name Lathyrus oleraceus (garden pea). RNAcentral's name for it is "Pisum sativum (pea) long non-coding RNA (PSAT_LNC037481)". The record is from RNAcentral. Lineage: Eukaryota; Viridiplantae; Streptophyta; Magnoliopsida; Fabales; Fabaceae.
UAUUCAGAUGAGAUACGUAUGCAGUGGAUGCGACAUCCGCGCGAGUCAUUUUCAUUUAACCCUUUUUUUUAGCAAACAGCACAAGAUAAACCCACACCCUUUAGACAAAAAACACAAAAGUGGAUCCCGUAGUGUACUAAGGAUGCGUAGGGGUGCUAAUACCUUCCCUUCGCAUAACCGACUCCCGAACCCAAGAUUUGGUUGCGAG